CGUGUAGGCGGUUUUAUAAGUCUGAUGUGAAAGCCCUGGGCUCAACCCGGGAAGUGCAUUGGAUACUGUAAGACUUGAAUACGGGAGAGGGUAGUGGAAUUCCUAGUGUAGGAGUGAAAUCCGUAGAUAUUAGGAGGAACACCGGUGGCGAAGGCGGCUGCCUGGACCGAUAUUGACGCUGAGACGCGAAAGCGUGGGUAGCAAACA
This 207-nucleotide ribosomal RNA is filed under the name uncultured delta proteobacterium. RNAcentral's name for it is "partial 16S ribosomal RNA". It matches the Rfam family "Bacterial small subunit ribosomal RNA", at positions 568 to 774 of the family's 1533-position model. The record is from RNAcentral. Lineage: Bacteria; Deltaproteobacteria.